CUAAAAAACGUUUAUAAAUUAAUACUUCAUCGUCAUAUCAGCCAGAAUACGUCCACAGUCGAACAAAGACAUCGUGCAAUCUAUUAAAAUUCAAAUAAUGAAGAUUUUUCUAUUACUGUUAUUACUGGUCGCCAUGGCAACGGCGGCCACGGGUAAAUUGGUGUUGUGGAAAAAAAUGCCAACAAUAAAAACGCCAAUAUUCUACAGCCUGAAGCCAGCGUCAUCGAUCAAGAAAUAUUACAGCGCAUCAAGAUACGCCUGAAUUUUGUAACUGAACUACAAGAACUACUACCACAAAUGUAAGAUAAGAACAAAUUGAAUAUAUUUUUUAUUUUAAGGUUUAA
Long non-coding RNA from Spodoptera litura, 344 nucleotides. RefSeq lists it as uncharacterized. The record is from RefSeq and is a predicted model, not a curated record. Lineage: Eukaryota; Metazoa; Arthropoda; Insecta; Lepidoptera; Noctuidae.